Molecule: non-coding RNA, 429 nt
Organism: Cinara cedri
Lineage: Eukaryota; Metazoa; Arthropoda; Insecta; Hemiptera; Aphididae
Source: the annotation of a GenBank genome assembly
AACAUCUUACUAGAUGUUAUUUAGAUUUAAUCACGCGAUAUAUAAUAAAAUACAGUCGUUGCGUUUACGUUUAUUUAAUACAUUUAAUGAUGAUUAUUGCAUUUCAUUUGGUAGUUUUAAUCUGAAAAAUCCUGAAAAAUUGCCUACUAAUAUAUUGCAAACAGAUUUUUUAACGUAUUAUAAACUGAAAUUUUAGUUAUCAUUCAUAUUGGGUAUGCCGAGUAAAAACGGAAUGUUGAAACGUGAAAAUUAAAGAAAUUGAAAUUAUCGUGUAUCUUUUAUGUAUCCCUCAUACUCGUAUAAGUUAUUUUUUUUUUUGUUUUUUUUUUUUUUGCAAUAUCUCGCCUAUCCCCGCCGAACGUUCCACCUAUAAACCAAUGGGCCACGGGUUUGAUACAAUUAAACCGCCGGAAAUACGCGCGACAAUAU